This is a long non-coding RNA of Orcinus orca (killer whale), 2610 nucleotides long. RefSeq lists it as uncharacterized. The transcript has 2 exons. The record is from RefSeq and is a predicted model, not a curated record. Lineage: Eukaryota; Metazoa; Chordata; Mammalia; Artiodactyla; Delphinidae.
CCGGCCUUCCGGCCGCAGCCCAGCGCGCCGCUGUGGAGGUUCCUUUCUCCCCGGGAGCGGCGGUGCGCACGCCCCGCCCGCCGCCCCCUAGGCUGGCGCCGCCCGCGCCGCUGGCCCUCCGGCCGGCAGCCCUCACUUCCUUAGCGACCCUUCUUGGAGCUCCGAGCCGCCGUGCGGUCUUGCCCCCGACCUUGUGUGUACCCGGCUGGCAUCCUGAGAGGCGAGGAGCGGCGUCCUGGCGCCUUCGCCUUCGCCUCUGGGGCGUCCCAGCCCCCUCGGCCCCGCCACCUCCGAUCCGCGUGACACGGGUCCCCCCCAUACCUCUUGGGGGGGGUGGAAGACAAAGGAAGGAGUUGGUUCCAGUGGGCGUCUUGCCUUCUACUCAUUUAACGCCCUGCAUUGCCUCGUCGUUCGAACACAUCGUGUACUCGGCCCUAUUGUAAAUAGUUUACUUACCCCCGCUUACCACCAGGAAAAUAAACAAGUUGUUUUCCCUACCCCAUAACAUUCCCCACUUCGUUUUUCCAGCCACGAAUAAAAUGUAUUCCUGAGACAGCAACUUUGGGGAGUUCGUUGGCCUCACCCACCCAGGGGUGACAAAUGGUUACACAAUGACGAUAUUUCACUCAAAAGGGGUGUGUUAAAGUGCGUGGAUCACUUCAAGAAAGCAAACAUUUCACAGUUUCCUCGACUGGUAGACUCUUGGACUGUCCUUUCGGAUGGGUGUCGCUGAAUGGGGAGGGGGGUUGAGAAGUGGCGUCGGCACCAGGUGUCUCACGAUGAGGUUAGUUAGAGGUGGACGCAGGCGUCUUAAUCGGACACCAGGUACCAAAGAUUUCGUCCAAAACAGUGGGAGUUUUACCUGAAUAAAGAUCCCGGAACCAAGCCCAGAUAUUAAAAUGCUUUCCAGCUAAGAACCAGAAUUGCAGUGGAUGUGGCCCUGUCUGCACAUGAGCCCUGAAACCACUGCAGCCAACGCGUGACCAUGACAGGCAAUAGCUCCAGCAUGCUGAAGAUGGCAGAAUGAAAAGACGGUGAGCUCUUAAUCUUUGAGGAGAUUAAAAGGCCUAGGACUGGAGGCCUAAAAGAAUUAACCUUAGGACUGCCCUAUCUGUAGACUUCCGAUUAUACGAGAUAGUAAGUGUCAUUAUUUAAGCCACUUAUAAUUGCAUAUUGUGUUUCUUGCAAUAAAAACUCUUCUGCUACUGACAACCUCUCUGUGGUAGCUAGCCUCCAGAAGGCCCCAACGAUCCUCACCUUCUGGUAGUCACAUCUUUGUAUAAUCCCCUUGUACAUUGGAUCGGGGCUUGCUUUUGUGACUAGUAGAAUAUGGCGGAAAUAUAAAAUGUGAUUUCCAAGUCUAGUUUAUAAAGGCAUUGCCUUGAUCUCUCUUGGAUCACUUGCUUUGGAAUCAGCCACGUACCAUGUCAUGAGGAUGCUCAGACAGGCUUGUGGAGAAACCUUCUUGGAGAAGAAUCAACUGGCCAGUACCAACUUGCCAGCAUGUGAGUAAGUGACCUUAGAAACAGAUCAUCCAACCUGAGGCCAUCAGAUAACUACAGAAAUAGUUAUCAUAUGGCUACAACCUCAUAAAAGACUCCAAGCUAAAACACACAAUUGAAUUGCUCUCGAAUUUCUGAUUCAUACAAACUUUGAGAGUUUCAGCCACUGAGUUUUGGAAUAAUUUUUACACAGCAACUGCUACCUAGUAGAGUAUCCUUCAAUACCAGAAAAACACGCCAAAGUCACCUGGGUGCUCAGACUUACUACUAUUGCUUGGGGCUUAGGAGCUGUCUUAACAAAGAUAAAAUAUAGCCCUUCAUUUGUUGGGCCCCUACUAAGCAUAAUCUCAAGAAUAAAAUAUAAAAUAUGAUAAGAAAAAAAAGAAAGGAAUUUAUUGAGGAACCUGGGAGAGAUUAAUGCUAAGAAAAUAUGGAAGUCAUUGGAAUAAAGGGAGGCAUCUGAGCUGAAGGGAAAUGGGGGGUGGGGGUGGGAGUUCACUAUUCCUCCAUAAUGCCAGUGUCCAUACUUGAAUUUUCAAUAACACUGUCUGGACAAGAAUGUCAAAAUGUGUACAUUGCAAAAAGUCAUAUUAAUUAGGUAAAAUGAAGCCAUUAGAAAGCAAUUCUUGAAAUCAGUUCUCAUGCUUGUGGCUUACAGAAGACUGGCCUCAAGGAAAAAUCUGUCCUUUUCCACCAUCAAGUCAUUGCAACAGACGUUUAUUAUGUGCUAGGCACUGACGGAUAAAGUUAAAUGUGCUAAUUCAAUCAACACUGUUGAACUUCUUCAGUGUAUGAGGCACUGUUCUAGGCACUGAUGAUUCAACGAUGAGCAAACCAAAAGACUUAUCCUUACUUAUCCUUGUCUCCAGAAAGGAGUUUGAGAGGGAAAAUGCAGGAAGGGGGAAGAAAUCAUAGGCAAAUAAACAAAUAAUGAAAUAAUCUGUUCUUAUACCAUGAAAAAAUACAAAAACUAAAAUACGACAAUGAGGAAAUGGAGAUUGCAUGCAAGGGGCAACUUUUGCUAGGAUGGCCAAGGAAGACUUUUUUUUAUAAGUUAGAAUAAUCUCUUUUUAUUUUUAAUUUUUAAAUAAAUGUAUUUAUUUAUUUU